RNAcentral lists this ribosomal RNA (253 nucleotides) under uncultured bacterium. Its description in RNAcentral is "partial 16S ribosomal RNA". It matches the Rfam family "Bacterial small subunit ribosomal RNA", at positions 524 to 776 of the family's 1533-position model. The record is from RNAcentral.
UACAGAGGGGGCAAGCGUUAUUCGGAAUUAUUGGGCGUAAAGGGCGCGUAGGCGGCCUUGCAAGUGGCGGGUGAAAUCCCUCGGCUUAACCGAGGAACUGCCUGCCAGACUGCAAGGCUCGAGACCGGGAGAGGUAAGUGGAAUUCCCAGUGUAGCGGUGAAAUGCGUAGAUAUUGGGAGGAACACCAGUGGCGAAGGCGGCUCACUGGACCGGAACUGACGCUGAGGCGCGAAAGCGUGGGGAGCAAACAGG